RNAcentral lists this ribosomal RNA (495 nucleotides) under uncultured bacterium. Its description in RNAcentral is "partial 16S ribosomal RNA". It matches the Rfam family "Bacterial small subunit ribosomal RNA", at positions 28 to 507 of the family's 1533-position model. The record is from RNAcentral.
GACGAACGCUGGCGGCGUGCCUAAUACAUGCAAGUAGAACGCUGAAGGAGGGGCUUGCUUCUCUGGAUGAGUUGCGAACGGGUGAGUAACGCGUAGGUAACCUGCCUGGUAGCGGGGGACAACUAUUGGAAACGAUAGCGAAUACCGCAUAAGAGUAGAUGUUGCAUGACAUUUGCUUAAAAGGUGCAAUUGCAUCACUACCAGAUGGACCUGCGUUGUAUUAGCUAGUUGGUGGGGUAACGGCUCACCAAGGCGACGAUACAUAGCCGACCUGAGAGGGUGAUCGGCCACACUGGGACUGAGACGAGGCGCAGAAGACUACGGGAGGCAGCAGUAGGGAAUAUUCGGGCAUGGACGGAAGUAUGACCGAGCAACGACGCGUGAGUGAAGAAGGUUUUCGGAUCGUAAAGAUCUGUUGUAAGAGAAGAACGAGUGUGAGAGUGGAAAGUUCACACUGUGACGGUAUCUUAAAAGAAAGGGACGGCUAACUACGUG